This is a long non-coding RNA of Tupaia belangeri chinensis (Chinese tree shrew), 371 nucleotides long. RefSeq lists it as uncharacterized. NCBI's taxonomy places the organism in Eukaryota, Metazoa, Chordata, Mammalia, Scandentia, Tupaiidae. The transcript is spliced from 2 exons. The record is from RefSeq and is a predicted model, not a curated record.
AGGCUUCCUGGGUGCCUGUGUUCUCCUCGGCAGGUCAGGGGACGCUCGACCUGGCUGCAGGAGGUCACGCACACGCCCAGUGUAGACUUUGGAGGCUGAGCACGCACACGGACACGUUUCUGCCGCAUCGGUUUAUUGGCUCGAGUGGGAAGUGGGGUGUUAACCAAGCACCCGGAAAAAUCCUGUGUGCCUCUGCGGAACAGGGGAUGGAAGACAGUAACCUUUUCUAUUCUUUCCGAAGGAAGCUUAGGUGAUAAAAAGGUGAGGACUCCGACCCGCCUACAGAAUCACGACUCUGGUACGACCGGGCCUACAAUGUGCCAGACACCUCACAGGUGCUUUACCCCUUAUUAAAGCACCCAACCAGCCGG